Molecule: ribosomal RNA, 136 nt
Filed under: uncultured eukaryote
Lineage: Eukaryota
Description: partial 18S ribosomal RNA
Rfam family: Eukaryotic small subunit ribosomal RNA
Source: RNAcentral
UGGUGGAGUGAUUUGUCUGGUUAAUUCCGUUAACGAACGAGACUUUAUCCUGCUAAAUAGACACUGCAGUUUCGACUGCAGCUGUGCUUCUUAGAGGGACUCUGUAUGUUUAAUACAGUGAAGGAAAGCAAUAACA